GGGCGCGUAGCUCAGUGGGAGAGCAUCCGCCUUACAAGCGGAGGGUCGCAGGUUCGAAACCUGCCGCGCCCA
This 72-nucleotide transfer RNA is filed under the name Allocatelliglobosispora scoriae. RNAcentral describes it as "Micromonosporaceae bacterium Sco-B14 tRNA". It matches the Rfam family "tRNA". From Rfam's summary of the family: Transfer RNA (tRNA) molecules are approximately 80 nucleotides in length. RNAcentral also lists the same sequence under 3 other names. Lineage: Bacteria; Bacillati; Actinomycetota; Actinomycetes; Micromonosporales; Micromonosporaceae. The record is from Rfam by way of RNAcentral.